AGAGUUUGAUCCUGGCUCAGGAUGAACGCUGGCGGCGUGCCUAACACAUGCAAGUCGAACGGAUUUAUAACGAAACCUAGUGAAUUAUAAGUUAGUGGCGGACGGGUGAGUAACGCGUGGAAAACCUGCCGUAUACUGGGGGAUAACACUUAGAAAUAGGUGCUAAUACCGCAUAAGCGCACAGCUUCGCAUGAAGCAGUGUGAAAAACUCCGGUGGUAUACGAUGGUUCCGCGUCUGAUUAGCUAGUUGGUGAGGUAAAAGCCCACCAAGGCAACGAUCAGUAGCCGGCCUGAGAGGGUGAACGGCCACAUUGGGACUGAGACACGGCCCAGACUCCUACGGGAGGCAGCAGUGGGGGAUAUUGCACAAUGGGGGAAACCCUGAUGCAGCGACGCCGCGUGAGUGAAGAAGUAUUUCGGUACGUAAAGCUCUAUCAGCAGGGAAGAAAAUGACGGUACCUGACUAAGAAGCCCCGGCUAACUACGUG
This 488-nucleotide ribosomal RNA is filed under the name uncultured Lachnospiraceae bacterium. RNAcentral's name for it is "bacterial SSU rRNA". It matches the Rfam family "Bacterial small subunit ribosomal RNA", at positions 8 to 507 of the family's 1533-position model. Lineage: Bacteria; Bacillati; Bacillota; Clostridia; Lachnospirales; Lachnospiraceae. The record is from RNAcentral.